AGCAGCCGCGGUAAUUCCAGCUCCAAUAGCGUAUAUUAAAGUUGUUGCAGUUAAAAAGCUCGUAGUUGAAUUUCGGGGUCAGUAGGCUGGUCGUGCCACAGGUAUGUACUGGUCUUACUGAUUCCUCCUUCCUGAUGAACCGUAAUGCCAUUAAUUUGGUGUUGCGGGGAAUCUGGACUGUUACUUUGAAAAAAUUAGAGUGUUUAAAGCAGGCUAACGCUUGAAUACAUUAGCAUGGAAUAAUGAAAUAGGACGAUCGAUCCUAUUUUGUUGGUUUCUAGGAUUGACGUAAUGAUUAAUAGGGAUAGUUGGGGGCAUUAGUAUUCAAUUGUCAGAGGUGAAAUUCUUGGAUUUAUUGAAGACUAACUACUGCGAAAGCAUUUGCCAAGGAUGUUUUCAUUAAUCAAGAACGAAAGUUAGGGGAUCGAAGACGAUCAGAUACCGUCGUAGUCUUAACCAUAAACUAUGCCGACUAGGGAUCGGACGAUGUAAUUUUUUAAUGACUCAUUCGGCGCCUUAA
Molecule: ribosomal RNA, 520 nt
Filed under: uncultured Glomus
Lineage: Eukaryota; Fungi; Glomeromycota; Glomeromycetes; Glomerales; Glomeraceae
Description: SSU rRNA
Rfam family: Eukaryotic small subunit ribosomal RNA
Source: RNAcentral